CCUACGGGUGGCAGCAGUGGGGGAUAUUGCACAAUGGGGGGAACCCUGAUGCAGCGACGCCGCGUGGGUGAAGGAGCGUUUCGGCGCGUAAAGCCCUAUCGGCAGGGAAGAAGGAGGACGGUACCUGACUAAGAAGCCCCGGCUAACUACGUGCCAGCAGCCGCGGUAAUACGCAGGGGGCAAGCGUUAUCCGGAUUUACUGGGUGUAAAGGGGGCGCAGACGGCGGCGCAAGCCAGGAGUGAAAGCCCGGGGCCCAUCCCGGGGACGGCACUUGGAACUGCGUGGCUGGAGUGCUGGAGGGGCAAGCGGAAGUCCGUGUGGAGGGGUGAAAUGCGUAGAUAUACGGGGG
Molecule: ribosomal RNA, 350 nt
Filed under: uncultured bacterium
Lineage: Bacteria
Description: partial 16S ribosomal RNA
Rfam family: Bacterial small subunit ribosomal RNA
Source: RNAcentral